This 356-nucleotide unclassified non-coding RNA is filed under the name uncultured fungus. RNAcentral describes it as "partial contains 5.8S ribosomal RNA and internal transcribed spacer 2". The stretch from base 1 to 133 matches the Rfam family "5.8S ribosomal RNA", at positions 22 to 154 of the family's 154-position model. Lineage: Eukaryota; Fungi. The record is from RNAcentral.
UGGCUCUAGCAUCGAUGAAGAACGCAGCGAAAUGCGAUACGUAGUGUGAAUUGCAGAAUUCAGUGAAUCAUCGAAUCUUUGAACGCACAUUGCGCCCGCCAGCAUUCUGGCGGGCAUGCCUGUCCGAGCGUCAUUUCGAACCCCUCAGGCCCUGGCUUGCCUGGUGUUGGGGACCCCGCAGGCGCCAGCCCGCAGGCCCCGAAAGACAGUGGCGGAUCCGCCGCGGCCCCGAGCGCAGUAAUACCAUUCUCGUUCGGCGCGCCGGCCGGUGGGCACAGCCGUGAAACAAAAAACCCCCCCGCCCACCCGCGGGGACCCAGUGGUUUGACCUCGGAUCAGGUAGGAAUACCCGCUGA